Molecule: long non-coding RNA, 753 nt
Filed under: Homo sapiens (human)
Lineage: Eukaryota; Metazoa; Chordata; Mammalia; Primates; Hominidae
Description: HSALNT0275707
Source: RNAcentral
UAUUUCUUUAAAACAAAGUGAGGGGAGUCUCUCAUUUACAUUAGUUUUUUUCAUAGCCUUUUGAACUUUGCAAUUUCUAUGUUUCAGAACCUAUUUCUUACAGUUCUUCUAUGCUAAACUCUGUCCUAGUCAGUUCUAGAGUGUAUGAAGAACCAAAUGAUGUAAUUGUAUGCGACCUGGCUGUAGUGGAACAAAUUUGACUCUAAAGUAUGCAGGCUCUAAUUUUCCUGUCUGGUUUUGGUAAGUAUUCCUUACAUAGGUUUUUUCUUUGAAAAUCUGGGAUUGAGAGGUUGAUGAAUGAAAAUUAAUCCUUUCACUUUUUUGUAUAUAGGUUUGCAAUAAUCAGGUCAGAGUGGAGUUUUAAGGUCAUGGAGGGGUCUGAUGACUUACAAAUAAUGGGCUCUGAUUGGGCAACUACUCAUCUGAGUUCCUUCCAUUUGACCUAAUUAAGCUUGUGAAAUUUACACUAAGCCAUGAGCUCAUCUUUAAAAAGUUUUAUUAAAAGAUUUUCAGCUGUUCCAAAUGGGACUUGUUAGUGGAAUGUGUUUUAAAGGAUCAUAUCAGAUGAAUGAAAGGUAUUUGGUCCUUCGUUUCCUUAAUAAUAAAAUGAUGGUUUGGAAAAAUAGGCUACAGUCUAACCACAGUGCUAUUAUUAGGCUUUCUUGUUAAACACAGGUCUAAGCCUAAGUAUGUCAAUACAACAAAUACUUACUGUUUCAUUUCUAGUAAUGAAAAAAAAAACAAGUCUUUCUG